RNAcentral lists this ribosomal RNA (323 nucleotides) under uncultured bacterium. RNAcentral describes it as "bacterial SSU rRNA". It matches the Rfam family "Bacterial small subunit ribosomal RNA", at positions 355 to 694 of the family's 1533-position model. The record is from RNAcentral.
UGAGGAAUAUUGCACAAUGGGCGAAAGCCUGAUGCAGCAACGCCGCGUGAGGGACGAAGGCCUUCGGGUCGUAAACCUCUUUUCUGGGGGACGAGUAAGGACGGUACUCCAGGAAUAAGUCUCGGCUAACUACGUGCCAGCAGCCGCGGUAAAACGUAGGAGGCGAGCGUUAUCCGGAUUUACUGGGCGUAAAGCGUACGCAGGUGGCUUCGUUAGUCGGACAUGAAAGCUCCUGGCUUAACUGGGAGAGGUUGUUCGAUACUGCGGGGCUUGAGGUUGGGAGGGGGAAGUGGAAAUCGCGGUGAAGUGGUGGAAUGCGUAGA